Molecule: ribosomal RNA, 331 nt
Filed under: uncultured eukaryote
Lineage: Eukaryota
Description: partial 18S ribosomal RNA
Rfam family: Eukaryotic small subunit ribosomal RNA
Source: RNAcentral
CCCUUAGAUGUUCUGGGCCGCACGCGCGCUACACUGACGAAGUCAGCGAGCAUGUCCUACGCCGACAGGUGCGGGGAAUCUUGUCAAACUUCGUCGCGAUGGGGAUUGAUUAUUGAAAUUCUUGAUCAUCAACGAGGAAUUCCUAGUAAGCGCAAGUCAGCAGCUUGCGUUGAUUACGUCCCUGCCCUUUGUACACACCGCCCGUCGCUACUACCGAUUGAAUGGUUUAGUGAGAUCUUCGGAUUGGCGCCACUGCGGCUCAGCAAUGGGCUCGGUGGAUGCCGAAAAGUUGAUCAAACUUGAUCAUUUAGAGGAAGUAAAAGUCGUAACA